This 74-nucleotide transfer RNA is filed under the name bacterium. Its description in RNAcentral is "tRNA-Gln". It matches the Rfam family "tRNA". Rfam says of the family: Transfer RNA (tRNA) molecules are approximately 80 nucleotides in length. Their secondary structure includes four short double-helical elements and three loops (D, anti-codon, and T loops). The record is from RNAcentral.
UCCAGGGUCGUUUAACGGUAGGACAACAGACUUUGACUCUGUCGACGUGGGUUCGACCCCUACCCCUGGAACCA